UACGUAGGUCCCGAGCGUUGUCCGGAUUUAUUGGGCGUAAAGCGAGCGCAGGUGGUUUAUUAAGUCUGGUGUAAAAGGCAGUGGCUCAACCAUUGUAUGCAUUGGAAACUGGUAGACUUGAGUGCAGGAGAGGAGAGUGGAAUUCCUAGUGUAGCGGUGAAAUGCGUAGAUAUUAGGAGGAACACCAGUGGCGAAGGCGGCUUACUGGACUGUAACUGACGUUGAGGCUCGAAAGCGUGGGGAGCAAACAGG
RNAcentral lists this ribosomal RNA (252 nucleotides) under uncultured bacterium. RNAcentral describes it as "partial 16S ribosomal RNA". It matches the Rfam family "Bacterial small subunit ribosomal RNA", at positions 524 to 776 of the family's 1533-position model. The record is from RNAcentral.